This 253-nucleotide ribosomal RNA is filed under the name uncultured bacterium. RNAcentral describes it as "partial 16S ribosomal RNA". It matches the Rfam family "Bacterial small subunit ribosomal RNA", at positions 524 to 776 of the family's 1533-position model. The record is from RNAcentral.
UACGGGGGGGGCGAGCGUUGUCCGAGGUUACUGGGCGUAAAGCGCGUGUAGGCGGGUUGUUAAGUCCGCUGUGAAAGCCCGGUGCUCAACGCCGGAGGGUCGGUGGAUACUGGCAGUCUUGAAGUGGCUAGGGGGAAAUGGAAUUACCGGUGUAGCGGUGAAAUGCGUAGAUAUCGGUAGGAACACCUGUGGCGAAAGCGGCUCACUGGACCAUUACUGACACUGAGGCACGAAAGCUAGGGGAGCAAACAGG